AACGAACGCUGGCGGCAUGCCUAACACAUGCAAGUCGAACGAGACCUUCGGGUCUAGUGGCGCACGGGUGCGUAACGCGUGGGAACCUGCCCUUAGGUUCGGAAUAACUCUCCGAAAGGGGUGCUAAUACCGGAUAAUGUCCUCGGACCAAAGAUUUAUCGCCUUUGGAUGGGCCCGCGUUGGAUUAGCUAGUUGGUAGGGUAAAAGCCUACCAAGGCGACGAUCCAUAGCUGGUCUGAGAGGAUGAUCAGCCACACUGGGACUGAGACACGGCCCAGACUCCUACGGGAGGCAGCAGUGGGGAAUAUUGGACAAUGGGCGAAAGCCUGAUCCAGCAAUGCCGCGUGAGUGAUGAAGGCCUUAGGGUUGUAAAGCUCUUUUACCCGGGAUGAUAAUGACAGUACCGGGAGAAUAAGCUCCGGCUAACUCCGUG
RNAcentral lists this ribosomal RNA (433 nucleotides) under uncultured bacterium. RNAcentral's name for it is "partial 16S ribosomal RNA". It matches the Rfam family "Bacterial small subunit ribosomal RNA", at positions 29 to 507 of the family's 1533-position model. The record is from RNAcentral.